RNAcentral lists this ribosomal RNA (433 nucleotides) under uncultured bacterium. RNAcentral's name for it is "partial 16S ribosomal RNA". It matches the Rfam family "Bacterial small subunit ribosomal RNA", at positions 29 to 507 of the family's 1533-position model. The record is from RNAcentral.
AACGAACGCUGGCGGCAUGCCUAACACAUGCAAGUCGAACGAGACCUUCAGGCCUAGUGGCGCACGGGUGCGUCACGCGUGGGAACCUGCCCUUAGGUUCGGAAUAACUCCCCGACAGGGGUGCUAAUACCGGAUAAUGUUUUCGGCCCAAAGAUUUAUCGCCUUUGGCUGGGCCCGCGUUGGAUUAGCUAGUUGGUAGGGUAAAAGCCUACCAAGGCGACGAUCCAUAGCUGGUCUGAGAGGAUGACCAGCCACACUGGGACUGAGACACGGCCCAGACUCCUACGGGAGGCAGCAGUGGGGAAUAUUGGACAAUGGGCGAAAGCCUGAUCCAGCAAUGCCGCGUGAGUGAUGAAGGCCUUAGGGUUGUAAAGCUCUAUUACCCGGGAUGAUAAUGACAGUACCGGGAGAAGAAGCCCCGGCUAACUCCGUG